Molecule: ribosomal RNA, 256 nt
Filed under: uncultured bacterium
Lineage: Bacteria
Description: partial 16S ribosomal RNA
Rfam family: Bacterial small subunit ribosomal RNA
Source: RNAcentral
UACGUAGGGGGCAAGCGUUGUCCGGAUUUAUUGGGCGUAAAGAGCGUGUAGGCGGCCAUACAGGUCAGCUGUGAAAACUCAGGGCUCAACCCUGAGCGUGCUCCGAUACGGGCAGACUAGAGGUAUGCAGGGGAGAACGGAAUUCCUGGUGUAGCGGUGAAAUGACGCAGACUAUCAGGAGGAACACCGGUGGCGAAGGCGGGGUCUCUGGGCCGAUACUGACGCUGGAGGAGCGAAAGCGUGGGGAGCAAACAGG